Micropterus salmoides (largemouth bass) is the source of this 808-nucleotide long non-coding RNA. RefSeq lists it as uncharacterized. The record is from RefSeq and is a predicted model, not a curated record. The transcript is spliced from 2 exons. NCBI's taxonomy places the organism in Eukaryota, Metazoa, Chordata, Actinopteri, Centrarchiformes, Centrarchidae.
GCAAAGUCAGGCAGGCAAAACGCCCUGCCAGCCAUUACCACAGUGAGCACCAGUAUGGUAGUGUCUACCGGUUCCAAAAUCUGCCAUGUGAAGUUGAGCUAGAUCUCAUUAAGUAACUUUCUAAUCUGCAUUUGAGUAUAGACCUAAUCUGUUAUGUUCAAGUUAAGUUCUUUUAUACCGUGGCAGGUUCUCCUAUGCUGUUCUCUAAAUCCAACUGAGCCUGUGAACAGGCCUGUAAACUGUUAGUGGAGCUUGAUCUCUACAUGUUAUAGAUUAUUCUCACUCAUUUUAUAGCUUGAGGUGUUAUUUUUUUACAUCUUUAUCUUUUCUUUCUUUUAAUGCCAGGAGUCUGAGAAAUAAUUUAAAACGCAAAGCGGUUUUCUUAUUUAUUAGGAAGUUUAAAUGUGAUUUAUGUUUCCUACAAGAGUCUAACUGCACAACAGAUGACUUGCCUUUUUGGAGGACUCAGUGGGGCAAAGACUUAUGGGGAGGUCAUGGAUCUGAAAGGUCCAAAAGGCAUAAAGGAGUGUGCUGCAGACCAUGCGUGGCCUCAGUUAACGUUUAGUUCAUGCAAUCAUUUUCUUUCAACCUUUUGUAAGCAAGAAGUAAUAAAACACUCAUAUGUUGGAACGCACUAUCUAGACAUUAUUAUAUAUUUUUUGGUUCAUGUAUUUCUACGAGCAAGCAAGCGUCAUAAGUCUCAGUCAGUCCAAGAGUGAUUCAUACAAAGACCUUAACCUCUAUAAUUGACACAGUCACCUGAAUUAUGUGCUGCCAUUUAUAGAAAUAAAGACAUUUACUCCAUAAA